UUGACCUCAGAUCAGGUAGGAAUACCCGCUGAACUUAAGCAUAUCAAUAAGCGGAGGAAAAGAAACCAACAGGGAUUGCCUCAGUAACGGCGAGUGAAGCGGCAACAGCUCAAAUUUGAAAU
This 122-nucleotide ribosomal RNA is filed under the name Septofusidium berolinense. RNAcentral's name for it is "partial 28S ribosomal RNA". It matches the Rfam family "Eukaryotic large subunit ribosomal RNA", at positions 1 to 121 of the family's 3401-position model. Lineage: Eukaryota; Fungi; Ascomycota; Sordariomycetes; Hypocreales; Tilachlidiaceae. The record is from RNAcentral.